CAGUAGCCGCGGUAAUACGUAGGGUGCGAGCGUUAAUCGGAAUUACUGGGCGUAAAGCGUGCGCAGGCGGUUAUAUAAGACAGAUGUGAAAUCCCCGGGCUCAACCUGGGACCUGCAUUUGUGACUGUAUAGCUAGAGUACGGUAGAGGGGGAUGGAAUUCCGCGUGUAGCAGUGAAAUGCGUAGAUAUGCGGAGGAACACCGAUGGCGAAGGCAAUCCCCUGGACCUGUACUGACGCUCAUGCACGAAAGCGUGGGGAGCAAACAGGAUUAGAUACCCGUGUAGUCCCUGUCUCUUAUAC
This 301-nucleotide ribosomal RNA is filed under the name uncultured bacterium. RNAcentral's name for it is "partial 16S ribosomal RNA". It matches the Rfam family "Bacterial small subunit ribosomal RNA", at positions 509 to 807 of the family's 1533-position model. The record is from RNAcentral.